UGCGUAGGUGGUAUGGCAAGUCAGAAGUGAAAACCCAGGGCUUAACUCUGGGACUGCUUUUGAAACUGUCAGACUGGAGUGCAGGAGAGGUAAGCGGAAUUCCUAGUGUAGCGGUGAAAUGCGUAGAUAUUAGGAGGAACAUCAGUGGCGAAGGCGGCUUACUGGACUGAAACUGACACUGAGGCAACGAAGCGUGGGAGCAAACA
Molecule: ribosomal RNA, 206 nt
Filed under: uncultured bacterium
Lineage: Bacteria
Description: partial 16S ribosomal RNA
Rfam family: Bacterial small subunit ribosomal RNA
Source: RNAcentral